Molecule: ribosomal RNA, 676 nt
Filed under: uncultured Thermoplasmata archaeon
Lineage: Archaea; Methanobacteriati; Thermoplasmatota; Thermoplasmata
Description: bacterial SSU rRNA
Rfam family: Archaeal small subunit ribosomal RNA
Source: RNAcentral
CCCUAUGGGGUGCAGCAGUUACGAAAACUCCGCAAUGGGCUAACGCCCGACGGGGGGACUCCCAGUGCCUGCGCAAUGCGUAGGCUGUUCUACCGCCUAAAAAGCAGUAGGAGGAAAGGGCGGGUAAGACGGGUGCCAGCCGCCGCGGUAAUACCCGCGCCCUGAGUGGUGGUCGUUUUUACUGAGCCUAAAGCGUCCGCAGCCGGCCCUGUAAAUCUUUGGGUAAAUCGGGCAGCUUAACUGUCCGAAUUCCGAGGACACUGCAGGGCUUGGGACCGGGAGAGGCUGGAGGUACUCCUGGGGUAGGGGUAAAAUCCUGUAAUCCUGGGAGGACCACCGGUGGCGAAGGCGUCCAGCUAGAACGGAUCCGACGGUAAUGGACGAAGGCCUGGGGCGCAAACGGGAUUAGAUACCCCGGUAGUCCAGGCUGUAAACGCUGCGAGCUUGGUGUUGGGGCUCCUACGGGGGGCCCCAGUGCCGGAGCGAAGGUGUUAAGCUCGCCGCUUGGGGAGUACGGCCGCAAGGCUGAAACUUAAAGGAAUUGGCGGGAGAGCACCGCAACGGGAGGAGCGUGCGGUUCAAUUGGAUUCAACGCCGGAAAACUCACCUGGGGCGACUGGUACAUGUGGGCCAGGCUGAUGACCUUGCCUGAAUUCCAGAGAAGAAGUGCAUGGGC